RNAcentral lists this ribosomal RNA (555 nucleotides) under uncultured bacterium. RNAcentral's name for it is "bacterial SSU rRNA". It matches the Rfam family "Bacterial small subunit ribosomal RNA", at positions 561 to 1098 of the family's 1533-position model. The record is from RNAcentral.
GUAAGGUAUGUAGGUUGUUAAUUAAGUUUUAUUGUUAAUUCAAUGAGCUUAACUCUUGCAAAGCAAUUUAAUACUGAUUAACUUUGAGUAUGUAAGAGGAUAGUGGGAUUCUUAGUGGAAAGUAAAAUUUUAUGAUAUUAAGAAGACGAACCAGCGAAGGCGACUAUCCAUUACAUUACUGACACUGAAAUACAAAAGUAUAGGGAGUAAAGAGGAUUAGAUACCCUCGUAAUCUAUACCGUGACCUAUGAGUAUUGAAAUUGGGAUAUUAAUUCUAUUUUCCAGCUAACGCGUAAAUACUCCGCCUGGGGACUAAGGUCGCAAGAUUAAAACUCAAAGAAAUUGACGGAGAUUUGACCAAGUAGUGGAGCAUGUGGUUUAAUCCGAUAGUCCGCGUAAAAUCUUACCAAUUCUAGUUUAUAUGUUUUAAUAUAUAAAUAUAUUAAAUUAAAUUUAAAUUAAUUUUAGUAAUUAAUUAAAUAACAUAUAAUCAGGUGUUGCAUGGCUGUCGUCAGUUCGUGUUGUGAAAUAUUUGAUUAAUUUCAAAAACGGGCA